This 94-nucleotide ribosomal RNA is filed under the name Lepocreadium album. Its description in RNAcentral is "partial 5.8S ribosomal RNA". It matches the Rfam family "5.8S ribosomal RNA", at positions 58 to 154 of the family's 154-position model. From Rfam's summary of the family: 5.8S ribosomal RNA (5.8S rRNA) is a component of the large subunit of the eukaryotic ribosome. It is transcribed by RNA polymerase I as part of the 45S precursor that also contains 18S and 28S rRNA. The record is from RNAcentral. Lineage: Eukaryota; Metazoa; Platyhelminthes; Trematoda; Plagiorchiida; Lepocreadiidae.
AUAUGUGACUGCAUACUGCUUUGAACAUCGACAUCUUGAACGCAUAUUGCGGCCAUGGGUUAGCCUGUGGCCACGCCUGUCCGAGGGUCGGCUU